Molecule: transfer RNA, 67 nt
Filed under: Marmota monax (woodchuck)
Lineage: Eukaryota; Metazoa; Chordata; Mammalia; Rodentia; Sciuridae
Description: tRNA.Ala
Source: RNAcentral
GGUUGUAGCUCAGUGGUAGAGUGCUUGCCUAGCAUGUGUGAGGCACUGGGUUCAAUCCUUAGCACCG